AAAACUUUAAGUUAAAAUAAACUAAGAGCCUUCAAAGCCCUAAAUGAAUUAAUUUCAAGUUUUG
This 64-nucleotide transfer RNA is filed under the name Sternaspis scutata. RNAcentral describes it as "tRNA-Trp". RNAcentral also lists the same sequence under 2 other names. The record is from RNAcentral. Lineage: Eukaryota; Metazoa; Annelida; Polychaeta; Terebellida; Sternaspidae.